Molecule: ribosomal RNA, 229 nt
Filed under: uncultured bacterium
Lineage: Bacteria
Description: partial 16S ribosomal RNA
Rfam family: Bacterial small subunit ribosomal RNA
Source: RNAcentral
CGGGUGAGUAACGCGUGGGUGACCUGCCUCAAAGUGGGGAACAACAGACCGAAAGGUUUGCUAAUACCGCAUACGCUCGACGAUUCAAUUUGUCGAGUAAAAGCGCAAGUUGCUUUGAGAGGGGCCCGCGUCCCAUCAGGUAGUUGGUGAGGUAAAAGCCCACCAAGCCGAUGACGGGUAGCUGUUCUGAGAGGAAGAUCAGCCACAAUGGAACUGAGAUACGGUCCAU